UGAUCAAGCUACUAAGGGCUUAUGGUGAAUGCCUUGGUGCCAAGAGGCGAUGAAGGACGUAGCAAGUUGCGAUAAGCCACGGGAAGCCGCAAGCAGGCGUUAAUCCGUGGAUCUCCGAAUGGGACAACCCAGUCUCGCGUAAGCGGGAUUAUCGACCGGAUGAAUUCAUAGUCCGGCGAAGCGAAACGGGGCGAAGUGAAACAUCUCAGUAACCCCAGGAAAAGAAAACGACGUGAUUCCGUCAGUAGUGGCGAGCGAAAGCGGAACAGGCUAAACCGGGAGGAUUUAUCUUCCCGGGGUUGUGGGACCUUGAUGUGAUAGUCCGACAGUUAGCUUAACCAUCUGGAAAGUUGGGCCAAAGACCGUGACAGCCGGGUGAGCGAAAACUGAAAGACGUCUAGAGGCAUCCCAAGUAGCACGGUGCACGUGAAACUCUGUGCGAAUCUGUCCGGACCACCGGAUAAGCCUAAAUACUCCUUGGCAACCGAUAGUGAACUAGUACCGCGAGGGAAAGGUGAAAAGAACCGCUGUUAGCGGAGUGAAAUAGUACCUGAAACCAUGAGCCUACAAUGUGUUGGAGCCGCGCAAGCGGUGACAGCUUGCCUUUUGCAUAAUGAGUCUGCGAGUUAUUGUCAGUGGCCAGCCUAAAUCUCUUUGAGAUGGAGGCGAAGGGAAACCGAGUGCCAACAGCGCGACCAGUCGCUGGCAAUAGACCCGAAGCGGAGGUGAUCUACUCUUGAGCAGGUUGAAGCUGCAGUAACAUGCAGUGAAGGACCGAACUCGUGGAUGUUGAAAAAUCCUGAGAUGACUUGAGAGUAGGAGCGAAAGACUAAUCAAACCCCGUGAUAGCUGGUUCUCUCCGAAAUCGCUUGAGGGCGAGUCUUAUGGAAGUACCCGGCGGAGGUAGAGCACUGAAUGGCUUAGGGGCCCCACCAGGCUGCCAAAACCAAUCAAACUCCGAAUACCGUCGGUCUCAGUAUCAUAGGAAUCAGGCAGUGAGCGAUAAGGUCCAUUGCCGAGAGGGCAACAGCCCAGACCAUCAGCUAAGGUGCCUAAAUGUGAUUAAGUGGAAAGGAUGUGACGUUGCUUAGACAGUGAGGAUGUUGGCUUAGAGGCAGCCAUCAUUUAAACAGUGCGUAAUAGCUGACUCAUCGAGCGAUGUCGCGCCGAAAAUGAUUGGCGAUUAAAUCACAUACCGAAGCUAUGGAUUCCAUUCUGAUUCGUCAGAGUGGAGUGGUAGGAGAGCGUAAUCAGUGCUGCGAAGCUGGACGGAAACGGAAAGUGGAGCGCUGAUUAGUGAGAAUGCAGACACGAGUAGCGAUAAAACAGGUGAGAAUCCUGUUCGCCGUAAACCCAAGGUUUCCUGGGCCAGGUUCGUCCUCCCAGGGUUAGCCGGGAGCUAAGAUGAGGCCGUAAGGCGUAAUCGAUGCACAGCAGGUUAAAUAUUCCUGCGCCCGUUAGGUUAAGGCUGGAAUUGACGCAUGGAGAGACAUGGACUAGGCAAUUGAAUGCUGAGCUUAGGCUUCGGCCGAAGCGCAUCCGUGGGUCUCUGUGCCGAGAAAAGCUUCCAGUUGUUCCCGACACGGCCCGUACCGUAAACCGACACAGGUGGGUGAGUGUAAGCGCACUCAGGCGCGCGAGAGAGACCUCUCUAAGGAACUCGGCACAUUAGCCUCGUAACUUCGGGAGAAGAGGUGCUUGAAACCGCAUCAGCAAUGGCGCGGCGUAAAGCCACAGUAAAUUGCGUUUAGCGACUGUUUAACAAAAACACAGCACUCUGCCAAGUCGUGAAGACGACGUAUAGGGUGUGACAAGUGACCAAUGCGGAAAGAUUAAAACAUUGGGUUAGCCGCAAGGCGAAGCUCGGUGUCCAAGUCCCCGUGAAUGUCGGCCGUAACUAUAACGGUCCUAAGGUAGCGAAAUUCCUUGUCGGGUAAGUUCCGACCUGCACGAAUCUUGUAACGACUGAACGACUGUCUCGGAGAGGAUCUCGGCGAAACUGUAACGGCGGUGAAGAUGCCGCCUGCCCGCAGUAGGACGGAAAGACCCUAUGCACCUUUACUGUAAGCUCGUAUUGGGUUCUGAUUAACGAUGCGUAGCGUAGGUGGGAGACUUUGAAGCGAGUCCUUCGGGGCUCGUGGAGUCGCAAUGUGAAACACCACUCUUUGCUAAUUAGGAUUCUAACCCCGAUUGCUGUUAGCCAGCCGGGGGACAGUGCGUGCAGGUCAGUUUGACUGGGGCGGUUUCCUCCCAAAGAGUAACGGAGGAGCGCGAAGCUUGGUUCAGCACGUUUGGCAAUCGUGCGUUGAGGGUAUGGCUAGAAACCAGGUUAACUGUGAGACGUACAUGUCGAGCAGAUGCGAAAGCAGGCCCAAAUGAUCCGACGGUUUAAUGUGGAAUUGCCGUCGCUCAUCGGACAAAAGGUACGCUAGGGAUAACAGGCUGAUCGGAUCCAAGAGUUCACAUCGACGAUCCGGUUUGGCACCUCGAUGUCGGCUCAUCGCAUCCUGGGGCUGGAGAAGGUCCCAAGGGUCCGGCUGUUCGCCGGUUAAAGCGGUACGCGAGCUGGGUUCAGAACGUCGUGAGACAGUUCGGUCCUUAUCCACUGUGGGCGCAGGAAACUUGAGGGGUUCUAACCUUAGUACGAGAGGACCGGGUUAGACGCACUUCUGGUGUGGCAGUUGUUCCGUCAGGGGCAUCGCUGCGUAGCCAUGUGCGGAAGAGAUAAGCGCUGAAAGCAUCUAAGUGCCAAGCUCCUCCCAAGAUAUUGUUUCCCGGACGCAAGUCCCUAAAGACCACGGGCAGACUACCCGUUUGAUAGGCUAGGAAUGUAAUCACCGUGAGGUGUUCAGUUGACUAGUACUAAUCGGUCGUGCGGCUUGAUCUUAAAU
RNAcentral lists this ribosomal RNA (2891 nucleotides) under Rhodospirillaceae bacterium. Its description in RNAcentral is "23S ribosomal RNA". It matches the Rfam family "Bacterial large subunit ribosomal RNA". Lineage: Bacteria; Pseudomonadati; Pseudomonadota; Alphaproteobacteria; Rhodospirillales; Rhodospirillaceae. The record is from RNAcentral.